Molecule: long non-coding RNA, 2812 nt
Organism: Eriocheir sinensis (Chinese mitten crab)
Lineage: Eukaryota; Metazoa; Arthropoda; Malacostraca; Decapoda; Varunidae
Exons: 2
Source: RefSeq, a predicted model, not a curated record
GAGAGGAAAAGCGUCUCCUCGCCGAGAGAGAGGAAAAGCGUCUCCUUGCCGAGAGAGAGGAAAAGCGUCUCCUUGCCGAGAGAGGAAAAGCGUCUCCUUGCCGAGAGAGAGGAAAAGCGUCUCCUUGCCGAGAGAGAGGAAAAGCGUCUCCUUGCCGAGAGAGAGGAAAAGCGUCUCCUUGCCGAGAGAGAGGAAAAGCGUCUCCUUGCCGAGAGAGAGGAAAAGCGUCUCCUGGCCGAGAGGGAGACAGAAGAGCGGGCUGCUGAGAGAGAGUUUCAACUUGCCAAGAUGCAAGUGGAAAAAAAAAAAUAGAACUCGCCCGUGUCGUCGCCCAUGGGAAAACGGCUUCUCCUUCCUGCGAGAACGUGAGAGGACCGAAAUUGCCCACCUACCAAGAGGGAGAGGACAUCAACAACUACCUCAUCCGUUUAGAAAGGGUGGCUGAACUAUUCCGGAUCGACAAGGAUAGCUACGCUGCGAGGUUGGGUUGUCUCCUCACGGGUAAGGCCACUGAACUGUAUUCUUCCCUGUCAGCUGAUAUAAUCGAAGAUUACGUUCUUUUGAAGAAAGCUCUCCUCACGGGCUUUAGUAAAACGGCGGAAAACUACCGUCAAGACUUCAGUCACGCCAGGAUAAGAGUUGGGGAAAACUACCAGCAGUUCUCCAUCCAUCUGACUCGGUUGUUCCAGGCGUGGUUGGAAGCCUCUGAUGUCCCCUGCACUUACGAAGAGCUCCGGGAGUUUAUGCUCCUGGAUCAGUUUCUAACUAAUCUCACCCCAGAUUUGAGGAUCUUCAUCAAGGAACGCCGGCCGAAACAUCUUCCCGACGCAGUGAGACUUGCCGACGACUGGUCGUCUGCCCGCAAUGCCUACCCUAAAGCUUCAUCUCCUAAUUCCCGAGACCCCUCUAAGGCUGCUUCGCCCACGAAAUCUUCAGAAUCCUCUCCGGGAGCCUCCUCCAAGACCUCUGCCCAGCCCAGUACAGUAACCCUGAGGUGUCACCAAUGCGGGGAGGAAGGCCAUCUACGUCCGCGCUGCCCGAAGAAUCCCCGCGCCUUCAAAGAUGUCGAACCUGCUAAACCAUCAUAUCAGGUAGGCUUUUGCCUUAGUGACAAAAGUGUCCCGAAGUUUUCUGUUUCGGGCACUAUUAACGGGUCUUGGAGCUCCAACAUCAUCAGGGAUACUGGCUGUUCCUGUGUGAUCGUCUCUGAAGACUUGCUACCUGAUAUAGAUGUUGAGAGUUGUCCAAAGGUCUCCCUUGCUGACUACCUAGGACGAGUGGACAAGUUUCCCGUGGUGAGGUGCCACUUAAGCUGUCCCUACUUCACCGGUUGGACUGAAGUGGUACGAGCUCCUAUUAAGUUUGUUGGGGCCCUCAUCGGAAACGUGCCUGGGGUAAGGGAUCCCCAUGACCCUGACUCUUCUCAAUCUCCAUCUGAUUCUUCCAGAACAUCCUCACCUUCAAAGUUGCCGCGAGGGACUUCUACUCCUCGUGUUCCGACAUCCCCGGCACCCCCUGACCCCCGGAUCCCCGGACGCCAUUACCACUCGUGCUGGUAGGUUGAAGAGGCUUCAUCCGCUUGUCCUUCCGGAACCUCUACCUCCUUCAGUAAAGACUUCUCCCAGCUUCAAGCCUCCUGUGCCUCCUUAGCAGCGAUACGGCAGAAAGCCUCAUCAGGACACGUCGACAAAGCAAGGAACGGAUCCUCCUUCCAGUACCUGUAUCGCAACGGACAUCUCUACAGGAAGUGCCUCACCUCCCCGCUUUCCAAUAAGAACUACUUCCCCAAAUUGCCAUCGACCUCGUUGGACCCUUGUCUCCACCAGCUACGGAAGAACCUCUUGUCAGCCCCAUUCCCGUAGUGGAGGAGCCAUCACCUGACGCCAGCUCCACAGAACUUCCCAUCGAUGAACCACUUAUGGACGACCGGGACGUAUUCUCCACCCCGCCUGGCUGUACUUCAGCGAUUCAGCAGGACAUCGUCCGGGUGUUGAGAUAGGCCUUGGGUCUACCGGCCUACGGGUACCGUGUCGUCCAUAUGGCCGGGAAGGAUAAUGUGGUGGCCGAUUUAUUGAGUAGACUUCCUGCAUAAGUCACUCCUGUUUCCUCGUCAGUCUCCUCCCUGUUUUAGUUUAUUGGCUUAUGUUCUUUUUUCUUUCCACUUGGUAGUUGUUUGUGGAAUCUACCUGGACUAGAUUCUUGUAUGGGGGCCUGUGUGAGGGCAACUACCAACUUAGCGGGCGAACGACCGGGCACUCCUGCCGCCCGCCCGCAUCUUGCCGUUCGAAGCGGUUCAACUACCGAGGCGCAGCGAAUCACCUGCUUCACUCCCGCUGCUCGUUCGCCUGACGCCGUUCGACGCCUCGGUCGAUUGAACCACCGAGGCUUCUCAAUCCGCUAUAGGAGGCAACUUGGUGGCCGCCAGCGCCUUCCUCGUCAUACAGCGGCCUCGCCUCGCCCUGAACACUUGCUUCUACUAAAGCUCCACCCUGCUCUCACUCGGGCUAACUCAGAUACCGUGGGCUCGUUCUGGGUGCCUUACCUCUCCCCUCUCCACGCCCUGGACUCCCGUUACUGCUGUGAACCUGACUCCCCUUUUCCGCCUGCGCCUCCCACGUCUACACCACUUCAAGGACGAAGCUGUGCUGCCUCGUCAUUGCCACUGGACGAGACGCUCAGAGGAGGAAGAAGCCGAGCAACGGGUCAUUGCUGUGUCCGGCGUGCUGAAGCCUUCUUGUUGGAGACUUCAGAUUGUAAGGCCUGUUUUGGGGUUUUCUACUGUACUUGAAGUAAACUGGUGUCUAACCAUUUA